AUUGAACGCUGGCGGCAUGCUCUACGCAUGCAAGUCGAACGGUAACAGGCCGCAAGGUGCUGACGAGUGGCGAACGGGUGAGUAAUGCAUCGGAACGUGCCCAGUCGUGGGGGAUAACUACUCGAAAGAGUAGCUAAUACCGCAUACGAUCUAUGGAUGAAAGCGGGGGACCGUAAGGCCUCGCGCGAUUGGAGCGGCCGAUGUCAGAUUAGGUAGUUGGUGGGGUAAAGGCUCACCAAGCCAACGAUCUGUAGCUGGUCUGAGAGGACAACCAGCCACACUGGGACUGAGACACGGCCCAGACUCCUACGGGAGGCAGCAGUGGGGAAUUUUGGACAAUGGGCGCAAGCCUGAUCCAGCAAUGCCGCGUGCAGGAAGAAGGCCUUCGGGUUGUAAACUGCUUUUGUACGGAACGAAACGGCUCUGGUUAAUACCCGGGGCUAAUGACGGUACCGUAAGAAUAAGCACCGGCUAACUACGUG
Molecule: ribosomal RNA, 482 nt
Filed under: uncultured bacterium
Lineage: Bacteria
Description: partial 16S ribosomal RNA
Rfam family: Bacterial small subunit ribosomal RNA
Source: RNAcentral